Molecule: ribosomal RNA, 297 nt
Filed under: uncultured Oscillospiraceae bacterium
Lineage: Bacteria; Bacillati; Bacillota; Clostridia; Eubacteriales; Oscillospiraceae
Description: partial 16S ribosomal RNA
Rfam family: Bacterial small subunit ribosomal RNA
Source: RNAcentral
GGGGAAUAUUGGGGCAAAUGGGGCGAAAGCCUGACCCAGCGACGCCGCGUGAGGGAAGAAGGUCUUCGGAUUGUAAACCUUAGUUAGCAGGGAAGAAGAAAGUGACGGUACCUGCAGAGAAAGCCACGGCUAACUACGUGCCAGCAGCCGCGGUAAUACGUAGGUGGCGAGCGUUAUCCGGAAUUACUGGGUGUAAAGGGUGUGUAGGCGGGCAAACAAGUCAGAUGUGAAAACUAUGGGCUUAACCCAUAGCCUGCAUUUGAAACUGUAUGUCUUGAGGAUGGAGAGGUAAGUAAG